This is a non-coding RNA of Pelobates cultripes (western spadefoot toad), 272 nucleotides long. The record is from the annotation of a GenBank genome assembly. NCBI's taxonomy places the organism in Eukaryota, Metazoa, Chordata, Amphibia, Anura, Pelobatidae.
UUGUGGAGAGAGGCACUGAGGCUAGUGGUGUUGUGGAGAAAGGCACUGAGGCUAGUGGUGUUGUGGAGAGAGGCACUGAGGCUAGUGGUAUUGUGGAGAGAGGCACUGAGGCUAGUGGUGUUGUGGAGAGAGGCACUGAGGCUAGUGGUGUUGUGGAGAGAGGCACUGAGGCUAGUGGUGUUGUGGAGAGAGGCACUGAGGCUAGUGGUGUUGUGGAGAGAGGCACUGAGACUAGUGGUGUUGUGGAGACCGGCUUGGAGACUAUGGUGAGG